RNAcentral lists this ribosomal RNA (253 nucleotides) under uncultured bacterium. RNAcentral describes it as "partial 16S ribosomal RNA". It matches the Rfam family "Bacterial small subunit ribosomal RNA", at positions 524 to 776 of the family's 1533-position model. The record is from RNAcentral.
UACGGAGGGUGCAAGCGUUGUCCGGAAUUAUUGGGCGUAAAGAGCUCGUAGGCGGUUUGUCGCGUCUGCUGUGAAAACUCGGGGCUUAACCCCGGGCCUGCAGUGGGUACGGGCAGACUAGAGUGCGGUAGGGGAGACUGGAAUUCCUGGUGUAGCGGUGAAAUGCGCAGAUAUCAGGAGGAACACCGGUGGCGAAGGCGGGUCUCUGGGCCGUAACUGACGCUGAGGAGCGAAAGCGUGGGGAGCGAACAGG